UUCUGCUCUCUUUUGGAGCCUGUCCCUAGCGGCCAGUCGAUGAAUCGCAGUUUAAGUCACUUCCGUAUUGGCUUCACGAGAGACUGGGGGAGGUUGCCGCUUGGCAUUUACACAGUCAAGGCAGCAGCUGUUUACCCUGUUGCUUGGUAACAACAGCACAGUGAUCUUAUAAGAGCUAAUGUAGAUUUGGUCAUUGUUUCAGAGGAUACACAGAAUCACUUUCAUCCUGCUGGAUUCUCAUAAACUCUUACUGUUAGAUUUGUCAUGCCUAUGGUUUGAGUCAAAAUAAAUUACAAGUAUGAAUAAGUA
Long non-coding RNA from Megalobrama amblycephala (Wuchang bream), 309 nucleotides. RefSeq lists it as uncharacterized. NCBI's taxonomy places the organism in Eukaryota, Metazoa, Chordata, Actinopteri, Cypriniformes, Xenocyprididae. The record is from RefSeq and is a predicted model, not a curated record. The transcript is spliced from 2 exons.